Vespula vulgaris is the source of this 3627-nucleotide long non-coding RNA. RefSeq lists it as uncharacterized. The transcript has 3 exons. NCBI's taxonomy places the organism in Eukaryota, Metazoa, Arthropoda, Insecta, Hymenoptera, Vespidae. The record is from RefSeq and is a predicted model, not a curated record.
GACGAAUGAUUUUCGAGAAGAUACUUUAUCUGACUUAAAUGGGCCUAACCCAAUUUACCUUCGAUGGCUGCAUAUUUAAAUGAACAAUUGAAUGUCUAUCCUAAGUCGUAACUAAUUUACGAAAUUUAAAUUAUGUCAGAGAUAUACCAGACUAAAUGAAGGCAAAAGCAAUUCCAAUAGUUCAGAAGUAUUGCAGAGGAUCAGAAUUGAACGAUAUCUGGAUUGUAAUUACGUCCAAAGAAGAUAUAUGGAUUUCAACUAAGCUUAAUACGAUCAUUAAACAUUUGACAUCCAAAAUGAAACGCUCUUCCAUUGGUACAUCCUGUUUUUCCUCAAAUCCGACGAUUCGUUCUACUUGGAUAGUAGAAAUGUCGGAACGUCAACGAGCGUAGGAAAUGGAAACGUUUACCUCUUCAGUCUUAUAUUUCAAUGAGAUUUUAUCAUGGCGACUAGAAUAUUUCUAUAGUGGAACAUUAUUCGAGCAUAUUGAAGCAGAAGAGUGUUUCAAGAGGCAGUUGAAAAUUCUAACAAAGGAAGGAACAUCGUUAGCUAUUGUUCAUGUAUGCAUUAUGUGAUUGUGAAUACCUAGGAAGAGGAAAAAGAAGAAAAUACAUACGUGCUUGACGACGAAGUUUCGAAAGACCAAUAUGGCGCUGUUUUAUAAAACUUGGAACCCUCGUACGGGGAAAUGGGAGGGACCUUCCUUCUUCAAAGCAUCUAACCGUGAGCUGCUUCAGUUGGAGGGUAUAAGCGAUUGUGCUCAAAAAGAUUUGUCGAUGAGCCGUCCGACGUUCCACGCGGGGCAAGGAUCACAGGGGAAUUAAAAUGAAACUGAGGGACGUUUAUCAUAUAAAAUAAUUGAACAGACAGGGACGAUCAAAAGAUUCAUCUUUUUUCAAAGUAAUACCAUUAGCAGGGGAAUACUUUUAAAUUAAACGUGAAAUAGAAAGUCCACGUCACGUCAUUGUUGUUCCAUCGAUUUAAAUUAAAUAACCAUUCGAUAUAAUUAAAAAGGUAGAAGUAUUGAAUUCUAUAUUUCAAACUGUUUGCCGAAAUAUUCACGACAUAUACAUAAAAAAUAUUCGUAAUACUUAAUUAGAGUUUUUCUUAAAUAUUGAUAUUUGGAUGAAAUAAUUUGGUGCGUAACGCUAAUUACCCAUUUAGUAUAUUACGAAAGGAAUUUCGUGAUAGUGGAUGUCCGUAAUACGUUCUCCCAUAUUUAUCCUCAAGUACCUUCGUUUAAACCUUUCUCCAUUAUCUCUCUCCAUGUACGUGUGCUCUGGUGCGCGUCUAUCGGCAUCAGAUCGAGUGGCUUGCAUUGAGUGUGCGUGUGUACGUAGAACUCCUGCCUUAUUUUGAUAAUAAGGAAGGUAUUUUUUCAUUUGUUUUCUUGUCAUCAAACCAAGCAAACAAUAGGAGAUUGGCUGUAUAAUUCAAUAACCUAUUUAGAUUCAUUGUUUGAUAACAAGCUUACAUAUUUUGCAGAACAAUAGCCUAUUUUCUAAGGAACCAAUUGAUUUGGAACCUUAUAUACGUUAGAUUAGAUAAUUAGAAGUGUAAUGGUAUUAUUGUUUUGCAUUCUCCAAUAGGGAGUAACUUUCCGGAACAAUUUAUCCGUUCAUAUGGAAGAAUCAUAUCAGCCGUGGUAUAUCGAUCCGCAAAAGACAAAUGAAAUCAUACAGCUAAAUAGAUAAUUGAAUUAUACCGUUAAUCCUAUUAUCGCAUUGUCUGCUUGGUUUGAUGAGGGAGAACUAAUGAAAAAAUACCAUCCUUGUUUUCGAAAUAAGAGAGGAGAUGUACGCAAACACGCGCACUCAUUUCCGUCCACUUGACUGGAACACGUAUACGUGCAUGUGCACGGAGAGAGUUAGUAAUAAAUCGUUCAAUAUGAAAGUGCUAAACGAUAGGUAGGAGAGAACGUAUUCCUCAACGAGCAAAUCGUUAAAUGCCGAUCAAUACCCCUUAACAAGGGAAUUUGUAGGCAUGGAGAAUCAUAUAUUUUUGCAGAAAAAUCACAAUUUUGUCCAUUAUAAUUUUCUAUGAUGUCUGUGAUAAAUGUUGAAUCUAUUCUUUUCCAACAUUAUCAUCCCUCGCAUUAUCCGUGAGGUCUUUCCGUUUUUUUGUUAGAUGUAAUGACUAUCACUCCUAUCGUUUUCUUCCCGAUUAAUAUUUUUUUUUUCUAAGAUGUCUGUUUUAAUGUUUGUCUUGUAGCCAAAAUUCUCCUUCGAUAUUACUUAUGGCACGAAACUUACUCGUGUUUGGAAAUUUUGCCAUUCUCUUAAUGAAAAAGAAAUGAGUAAGUAAACAGGUUGGAAGACUGAAAUUGUAUAUUACGAAAUCACGAAACGAUAUAUACCAAAGGAAUAUUACGUUUCUGAUUUUUUGGCUUAUUAGUGUAGGGAACUAUCUGUUUCACUAGAAAUUUCAAUACGACACGAGUUCAGCUUCGCAAAUCUCCCCUCAGUUUCAUGAUUGCUUGUUUACUCCAUCAAAUAUCAUUGCAUCGUACGAAGCGUACUCGCGUACAAUUGCAGACAAGUCCUUAUCUCUCUCUUUAAGUGGUUUAUAGAAGCCCUCAGACCGUUGUGAACGUACUUCUUUUUCAUAAAAUCGACUGACAUUCUUUUCAUAUAACUUGGUAAUUUGACCAUUUCUUGAUUAACUAACCGAGUGGUUCUCUCGAAGGGAAAAUACGGUAAAGAGGGGAAGGUAAUAUUAGGAAACCAUAAAUGUGACGAAAGAUUUUCUCCGAAUUCGUUUUUUAUUAUUAUGGAAUAGCGAAAAUGCUAUCUUCGAUAACUUGAGCAAUAUGCAUUUGUUUACAAGAAAAGGAAAUAAUAUUUGGAGAAAAUGUUUUCAUGCAAUAUGGCAGUAGAUAUAACUUCCGACGAAAAAAUUUUUUAAGAGAGAUGAUUUUACUAUAAGAAUUACAUAGUAUAUACGUAGCACGAAAAUUUAUAGUGAUAUCAUUAUGAAUAAUAGAAUACUAUAUAGAAUCAUUAGGAAUAAUAGAAUACUGGUAAUAGAAUACUAUAAUAUCCAUAAUAUCAUUAUGAAUAAUAGAAUACUGAUAAUAGAAUACUAUUAAGCAUAAGUCAGACUUACAAAAAAAAUAACAGUGCGAAUUUCCUAUAUUAAUAUCCGAUUAACUUCAUAAGAAUUAGUCUUCAUAAUUACAAUAAUUAUUAUUAUAAUAAUUAAUUAUAUUAUAAAUAAUUACAGUUUUAUGUGAUUAUUUCAAUUAAAAAAUAGACGAAUUAUUGUAAGAUUCUCAUUAGGAAAUUCCAUGAUAUAUUACACAGAUAAUUUCGCAUGAACAUAGAGUAUAUAUACAUAUAAUUACAUAACUAUAGGAGUGGGGAAAUUAUUUAUCCCCAUGCGUUCUAGUUAGAUAAUUAGAUUUUAGGAAGCUUGGUCUUCUAUCCAGCUAACAUGUGGCUAAUUAAACUAGGUUAAGUCAUUCCUUCCGGGAUUUGCGACCCAGUAAUACGCAAGUGUGUCUCAUACGCGAAAUAAUCCCUAGCUAUCAUCUUUAUCACUAAUCAUUCUAUUAUUCCAUUAAUAUUCAUUAAAUUUGACAUUAUAUUUGUAUAAGAUUUAUUAAAAGAUUUCAUUUCCAUAUUAUAG